This 786-nucleotide unclassified non-coding RNA is filed under the name Hevea brasiliensis (rubber tree). Lineage: Eukaryota; Viridiplantae; Streptophyta; Magnoliopsida; Malpighiales; Euphorbiaceae. The record is from RNAcentral.
UUCUUUAUCUCCUUCCUAUAAAGCUUUUGUCUUGUCUGUUUUUCUGUUUCUAUCCCACAUGAUUAGAAGAAAGCAUACCUUAAUCCAAAAUGGAAGGCAGCUAUGAUAGAAGAGAUGAAAGCUUUAGCAAAAAAUGAGACAUGGGUUCUUGUUACUCUUCUUCUAGGGAAAAAACUGGUUGGAUGCAAAUGGAUGUUCACUUUAAAGCAUAAAGCAGAUGAUUCCAUUAAAAGAUAUAAGGCCAAAUUAGUGGCCAAAAGAUUUACUCAGACGUAUGGGGUGGAUUAUCAAGAGACUUUUGCACCUAUUGCUAAAAUGAAUACAAUUAGGAUCUUGCUGUCAUGUGCUGCAAACCUUGAAUGGGACUUACAGCAGGUUUGAUGUGAGAAAUACUUGUUUGCAUGGAGAUUUGGAAGAAGUACACAUGGAAAUCUCUCCAAGGUUUGAGGGUGAAAGGACCAAAUGAAAAGCCUGUAGAUUGAAAAAGGCACUAUGUGGUUUGAAGUAGUCACCAAGAGCAUGAUUUGACAGAUUUAGUAAGACCAUGAUUUCCUUUGGGUUCUAUCAAAGCAGUGCUGAUCAUACCCUAUUCAUGAAACACCAUAGAGGUGAGAUUACAGUGCUCAUUAUUUAUGUUGAUGAUAUAGUGGUGACAAGAGAUGACAAGGAAGAGAUUGCUCAUCUAAAGGAGUGCUUGGCUCUGGAAUUUGAGAUUAAAGACUUGGAUAGAUUAAGGUACUUUCUUGGAAUAGAAGUUGCCAAAUCAGACAGAGGGAUUUUUAUUUC